UGGGGAAUAUUGCACAAUGGAGGGAACUCUGAUGCAGCGACGCCGCGUGAACGAAGAAGGCUUUCGAGUCGUAAAGUUCUUUUAUAUGGGAAGAUAAUGACGGUACCAUAAGAAAAAGCCCCGGCUAACUACGUGCCAGCAGCCGCGGUAAUACGUAGGGGGCUAGCGUUGUCCGGAAUCACUGGGCGUAAAGGGUUCGCAGGCGGAAAUGCAAGUCAGGUGUAAAAGGCAGUAGCUUAACUACUGUAAGCAUUUGAAACUGCAUAUCUUGAGAAGAGUAGAGGUAAGUGGAAUUUUUAGUGUAGCGGUGAAAUGCGUAGAUAUUAAAAAGAAGACCGGUGGCGAAGGCGACUUACUGGGCUCAUUCUGACGCUGAGGAACGAAAGCGUGGGUAGCAAACAGGA
This 404-nucleotide ribosomal RNA is filed under the name bacterium. Its description in RNAcentral is "partial 16S ribosomal RNA". It matches the Rfam family "Bacterial small subunit ribosomal RNA", at positions 355 to 777 of the family's 1533-position model. The record is from RNAcentral.